ACAUCAAUAUUAAUUUAAUGACAUUCCAUAAGAAUAAAAAUCCAAUAGGACCAAGAUUUUAGCAGUUCACACCCGGUCAGAGGGACAAAAUUGAGAACCAUGCAGAUCAGCAAGUGUGGGUUACACUUUAAUUAGGAACAGGAUAUCUGAAUUGGAAAAUUGCAAGGUUUCCCACUGCCCAAGCUGUUUAAGUACUGGUAUCACAACAAGUACCAAGACGGAAGAUAUAUGAAGGCCAAGCUAAUAAGUAGUUACUUCAAAUUAAUUUGAAUAGAUAUAUCAACAAAGCAGUGAAAGUUCUUUAAACUGCACAUCUGUAGAAAAGAGUUCAGGUUCAUCAGCGGGCAUUGACAUUAAACUAUACAAAAUUUCACACAAAAUACAAGAAAGAAAUAUUUUUUUUCCAAUGGGCAAAUGUAUCACCUUUUAUUAAUAUUUAAUAUUUCUACUAGUUCUUAGAAGUUUUUGUGAAAUUAAAUAUAAUUUCCAGUUUAAGGGACUAUUGUAUACAAGACAAAAAUUUAUGUUUUGAAAUAAAAAUCAUGCGUAGAUAAAUGUUAAUAAAGGUGAUCAGAGGAUUAAGAAAUAAUUUUAGUAUCACUCCUGGACCUCAUUCCAUAAACAAGUUAUUACUAUUGUAAUCUUGUCACUAUGACAAUUACCAUGGUAACAGGGCUGAGCAAGAAAUCAAGGUCUUUAUGGUAGCUGCAAUGGGCUUGGACAAAGUUACCAUAAUUGCAAGUCGUCAUAAUAAUGGCUCAAUAAUUAUAGGGAUAUUAAAUUGCAUUUAUUGUUAUCUUACUCAGAGUUUUGAAAUGGGUUUCCUCUGCAAAAAUAUAUAAAUAGACUAUAUUUUUAAAAAUAGAUUGAAUUCUACCCACAGUGACAGUAGACAAUAUCAAAUUUUGUUAGUGAUUCACUGACUUGGAAAGGCACUGUUUAGGGAGAUUCUUGAAUUAUGCCCCCCCCCCCUUUUUUUAUGUGGAGUGCUCUCACAUUAGUAGAAUAUUUCUUGUCCGCAAAUUUGGAAGGAAUUUACUCUUUUUUUGAGUGACAAACUUGUGUGGAAAGAAUAAACAGAAUAUCUCAGAUUUUUAUGCUCUUUUUAUGAAAUCUUGGAUACAUCCCUCCUAUUGAUUAUUAGGCUCAUCAACAUAUUUUGAGUGAAAUUCUAAUAAACAUUGUAUAUUUUGACUUAAGUGUAGAAAAUGUACUAAAUCCUUUAUUUUUUUAAAUCUAAUUUAAUGCUUGUAGACUCUAGUUGUUAUGUUAUUUUCAAAGUUUCAGAAAAUGGAUUUCGUAAUAAACAUGUUAAUUUUGAAUUAAAUUAUCUGAUCUUGGUCAUUUUCGUUUAUUAAUCACCAAUUUGUGAUGAUAUAUUGCUACCAAAAAAAUUUUAUGCACAAAUGGCACAAGAUGUUGCACCUUGUACUCAAAUGUGAUACUACUGUGACAUCAUGAGAGCAAACAGCAGUUAAUCAAAAUAUUAUUCAAGAGAAAUAAGGAUAAGAGUGGGAAAGUAUGUAAAAUGACAGGAGAAUUAUUUGCCUUUAUGCAUAUAUUUGUGUGUGUCAGUUUUUGAGAGAGAAAGAGAGAGAAGGGGCAGGAGAUGGGGGCAUUUACAGAAAGUUGUUUGUUUUAGAACAAGCAAUCAUAAGACCUUACUGUUCACGAUGGGUAUACGGGGAUGGGAAUUAUUUCUACGAAAUUUGGAACCUUUAUAUAAAAUGUAUUUUUCUUUCCAUAUAAAAAUUAUACCAGAUUCAUUUCCAGUUGAAAAUAAAAAAAAUAAAUAACCUAUACCCUACGAUCGGUUUUCUCUCCUGCCGAGAUAAUUUUGAGAAUCCCCCUAAAAUAUUGUACCUAGGUCAUGGUUAUUGAUAUAAUGACAUAGAAGUCGCCAUUUAAAAUUAAGUGCUCCCGACUGCUAUAAGAGGACCUAUAUUGGGGACUACAAUAAUUAUGUAAAAGUAUUUGAUUUGUUCUUAUUAUUUUUAAAAUUAUAAUAUUUAA
This 2013-nucleotide long non-coding RNA is filed under the name Lytechinus variegatus (green sea urchin). RNAcentral describes it as "uncharacterized LOC121420098". Lineage: Eukaryota; Metazoa; Echinodermata; Echinoidea; Temnopleuroida; Toxopneustidae. The record is from RNAcentral.